CCUUGAUGUGUAGGAUAGGUGGGAGGCUUUGAAGUGUGGACGCCAGUCUGCAUGGAGCCGACCUUGAAAUACCACCCUUUAAUGUUUGAUGUUCUAACGUUGGCCCGUAAUCCGGGUUGCGGACAGUGUCUGGUGGGUAGUUUGACUGGGGCGGUCUCCUCCUAAAGAGUAACGGAGGAGCACGAAGGUUGGCUAAUCCUGGUCGGACAUCAGGAGGUUAGUGCAAUGGCAUAAGCCAGCUUGACUGCGAGCGUGACGGCGCGAGCAGGUGCGAAAGCAGGUCAUAGUGAUCCGGUGGUUCUGAAUGGAAGGGCCAUCGCUCAACGGAUAAAAGGUACUCCGGGGAUAACAGGCUGAUACCGCCCAAGAGUUCAUAUCGACGGCGGUGUUUGGCACCUCGAUGUCGGCUCAUCACAUCCUGGGGCUGAAGUAGGUCCCAAGGGUAUGGCUGUUCGCCAUUUAAAGUGGUACGCGAGCUGGGUUUAGAACGUCGUGAGACAGUUCGGUCCCUAUCUGCCGUGGGCGCUGGAGAACUGAGGGGGGCUGCUCCUAGUACGAGAGGACCGGAGUGGACGCAUCACUGGUGUUCGGGUUGUCAUGCCAAUGGCACUGCCCGGUAGCUAAAUGCGGAAGAGAUAAGUGCUGAAAGCAUCUAAGCACGAAACUUGCCCCGAGAUG
Molecule: ribosomal RNA, 678 nt
Filed under: Escherichia coli
Lineage: Bacteria; Pseudomonadati; Pseudomonadota; Gammaproteobacteria; Enterobacterales; Enterobacteriaceae
Description: partial 23S ribosomal RNA
Rfam family: Bacterial large subunit ribosomal RNA
Source: RNAcentral